GACGAACGCUGGCGGCGUGCUUAACACAUGCCAGUCGAACGGAAAGGCCUGCUUUCCCUUGUGGAUUGCGGGUACUCGAGUGGCGAACGGGUGAGUAACACGUGAGUGAUCUGCCCCCAACUUGGGUAUAAGCCUGGGAAACUGGGUCUAAUUCCCGAUAGGACUGCAGGGUGGUGCCUGUGGUGGAAAACGAUUUUCUAGUGGUUGGGGAUGAGCUCGCGGCCUAUCAGCUUGUUGGUGGGGUAAUGGCCUACCAAGGCGGCGACGGGUAGCCGGCCUGAGAGGGUGGACGGCCACAUUGGGACUGAGAUACGGCCCAGACGCCUACGGGAGGCAGCAGUGGGGAAGAUUGCACAAUGGGCGGAAGCCUGAUGCAGCGACGCCGCGUGGGGGAUGACGGCCUUCGGGUGGUAAACUCCUUUCGACCGCGAGGAAGCCACCUGGUUGGAAGGGUGGUGACGGUAGUGGUAGAAGAAGCACCGGCUAACUACGUG
RNAcentral lists this ribosomal RNA (494 nucleotides) under uncultured bacterium. Its description in RNAcentral is "partial 16S ribosomal RNA". It matches the Rfam family "Bacterial small subunit ribosomal RNA", at positions 28 to 507 of the family's 1533-position model. The record is from RNAcentral.